AGAUGGAAGUCUGACCGCAACUGUACCAGAGUUAUUCUUCUAAAGAUGAGGAAGUUCGACAUCGGAAGCAAGACCAGGGGACGUCAAAGUCACCUUCUGCAGCACCAUCAUUCCAGGGAACAGAGGAUCCAGGACAAUGGCAGACUGUGACUUUCCUGAAAAAGGUCCAGGAUGUUCACAGCCAUGGACGCUACUGCACUAGGAGAGAUGUCAUGCCGAAAGCCCAGCCCAAAGGUGGGGAGGCCUUAAAAAAAAAAGAAAAACUGGAGUUCCUUGGAAAUUCCGGAUCUGGAGCGACAGAGAAGAGUGUAUCCAAAGUCUAUUCCCAUCAGUGGGAGUAGCUGAAGUUCGAGACCAUGUUGAGAUCAACAGGAACUGGAGGAACUAUACAUGAUGCCCUGCAUGAAUGGGAAGAGCUUAAAGACUAUGUGGACGAUGCAACUCAGAGGUCACAGCCUUUUGACUCUAUUUCUUGGCUCACCUCCGGACCCUGGUGGCAGCCUUUUUAUUAAAGAUUGGAACACCCAUCAUGACUGUACUGAUCCUAUUCUGUCUCUAUACAACCUGCAUCAUUCCAAGUCUUCGUAGCAUGAUGUUAAAAACAUUUAACACUGCUUUGAUCAGCUAUCAGAUGGACAGGGUAACCUCUGACACAGAUGAGGACUACAUCUGGUUUCCAGAAAAAUGAAGAUAAACAGGAAAACAGGAACAUAUGAUGAUGUGCUAUACCUAAUAAACAGAUUAAAUCAUUUGCUCAAUGGCUCCUGCACUGAACAUGUGACAAUAGAUGAUGUUCGUGAUUUAAGAUGCAUUUGGGGUAUACUGUUUCUUUUAUUUUUCAUUUAUUGCAUUAUAUUCCAUAUAUUCAUUGUGUAUUUUCUGUGUUUAGAUUAGAAAAAAAAAAAAAA
Molecule: long non-coding RNA, 908 nt
Organism: Xiphophorus hellerii (green swordtail)
Lineage: Eukaryota; Metazoa; Chordata; Actinopteri; Cyprinodontiformes; Poeciliidae
Exons: 2
Source: RefSeq, a predicted model, not a curated record